Molecule: long non-coding RNA, 2484 nt
Organism: Saccostrea echinata
Lineage: Eukaryota; Metazoa; Mollusca; Bivalvia; Ostreida; Ostreidae
Exons: 2
Source: RefSeq, a predicted model, not a curated record
AAUUUUAUCAAAAAUUAAAUUUAUUGCCCUAUUUAAAUAUUUUUUACAUUAACAAUGAAACAUUUCAACAUGUUCAAGUUAAAUUAGAUCAGGAUCAAACGAUAAACCGUCACCUGAAAUCAGAAUUUGAAAUAACUCCUAAAAUAAGGAAAACAUACAAAUCUAAUUUAAAAUAUAUAUUCAUUAUGUUUAACUAAAGUAGAAAAACAUACAAAAAGUAGUUAAAUUGCAUUAAAUUAUUAAAUUUUACUAGCGUACUCUAAAGUACUCUAUCGUACUAGCAUACUCUGUUUAGUAGGACCGUCAUAACAGUAUUUCAAUUGAGGUUCAAAAUAAUUCCUGAAUCUUCCCUUCCGAUUCGGGCAUUUUAACACGAGACUGGAGCUGAAUUUUUUUACGAGAUGAAAAACAAUAUGUAAACUUCCUGUACUGACUAGAUUCAUUGUAAUUUAGGGCUUGCUGAUUUUUCUAUAUACUGUAUGAGUGGGGAGUGAUUAGGUCCUGGACUUGAUUUUCAAGCACCUGCUCGACUUCGACCGAAACAAACUUGCGUGCCUUGCUGGAUGGCUAUGUAUUUUUGGGUACUAAAAUCUUUAUAAAGAAUUGUUUUACAAGAUCUGAAAAGGAAACUUCUCAAAAGCUUGUUUUCAAUUAAUACCACCUACUCAAAGUUGUGCAUUUUUGGUAAGAAUAUAUAGCAAAAUUUAAUACUGUUGUGCAACCCAAAGCACAUUUCUGUCACUAUGGGAUGCAGAAUUAAGUCACUAAAUGUAGAACCGAACCGGAACGGAUAUAUGAAAUUCCGAAUUGUUUGUUUUUUUCAAAGACGUAUUUCUCCUAAACCUACGCGCGCGGGUGACGUUAAACGUAGAAUUAAUUUUAAACAGCCUAGUUUUAAUAUAUUUGAAGCAUUAUGAGCACUUUCUUUCCACUGAUUAGUAUACAUAUAUAUACUUGUAUAUAUAUUUAUGAUAUUGUACUGGAGACCAUUAAUGAACUUGCUGUAGAGAAAUCAUCUAUUUGCUGGGUACUAUAGAAUAAUGUGCCAUAAUUACAUACAUGUAUACAUCAUUCUUUAAUACAGAAACAAUCAUUAGUUUGGAAAACAGAGAAUUUAGAUUAGAAUGUGUUAGAAAUACCUUUUGUGAUGAUUUUUUUAAAUUCAUUUUGUUUGUUUUGUUUUUUAAUUUUUUUGCUAGCACGGUGCCUGCCAAUGUCAUGUAUCCACUUUCUUUGAUGAAUUCCUGUUGACAAAUUCUGAACAAUUGUAUUAAACACAACAGCAUUUUCAGGAUUAUAUAUUCUCAUUAUAUACAUGUACCGAUACAUAUGUUUGUUAUAUUCUGCUCGAAGAACACAAUGCAUAUUUAGUUUGUUCUUACAUGAAGUUUAUACAGUUUGUUAUGAAAGCAUCUGUCAUACAUGACCUUUAAAUUCCCUUCAUGGGUCACUGAAUAUGGGUUUUGACUGAAGAUUCAGAUCCUGUUUUUGUUAAUUUCUCUUCUUUGACCAUGGAUCUGAAAUUGUCUGUGAUGGUCAGACAGGUUUGAUUGCCAGUGGCCAGAUAACUAGGUUGGUAAUGCACCUGACCAGUGAUUCAGGAGGCCCUGGUUCAAAUCCUGAUCUGGUCCGUCACACCUGACCGAUGAUUCAGGAGGUCCUGGUUCAAAUCCUGAUCUGACACGUCACACCUGACUAGUGAUUCAGGAGGCCCUGUCACAUUUUUCCUCCUCAUCGGUUACAGCUUAUUUAACUAAGGUCUGAUGACAUACUAUUCAAACAUCUUUUGGGGGGGGGGGGGUCUUUGCAUUAAUUUACCCGAAAUAUUUAUUAUUACUUUUUUGAUUUCUAAACAUUCCAGAAUGUCUCAAAAAUAUAUGUAUGAAAAAUAUUGAUAUCAAUCGUUGUGAUUUAUAGUAAGAUUUUAAAGGAGAAAUCCUCCUCUGGAGUCGUGCACAAGUUGCUGGUUACGUUUUUCUCCAUUUCUAGAGGAAACUUGUAAAAGCAAUAUUUUAUUCACAAAGUCUUGAGAAAAAUAUAUAAUUGAGGAACCUGUUGUCAAACCUUAAAUCAAUUACACUAGUACAUGUACUUUAAAUUUAUGAAGUAAAUAUAUUCAACAUCCCCAAAAUUUUAUGAAGUAAUCUACCAAGAAUACUGUAGGCAUUAAAAUGAAUUUGUUGCAUGUCCUUCGUAUAGUUUUGUUCAUGGAAAGAUGAUAUUUGUGCUAAAUUAUGUUUAAACAUUUUUUUCUGCUAACUUUGGUUAUCUUUGUUUCAAAACCCUUCCUUUGGCUCAUAUGCAUGAUUGUAUGCCUCUUGAAUGAAUUUGUAUGCAAGGGUGCAAGAGCCUGAUAAAGGUACAGAUUUUGGUGUGGUUUGUUAUAUGAUAUUGGCAUGUCCCUUGUUGAUUAUAAUUUAAUACUUAAUGUUAGAGUUGAUCAUUAAUUAAUUAUUAAUAAUAAAGUUAUAAUUUCAAUUAUCA